CAGUCGCCGCGGGAAUACGUAGGGUGCGAGCGUUAAUCGGAAUUACUGGGCGUAAAGCGUGCGCAGGCGGUUGUGUAAGACAGGUGUGAAAUCCCCGGGCUUAACCUGGGAACUGCGCUUGUGACUGCACAGCUAGAGUAUGGCAGAGGGGGGUGGAAUUCCACGUGUAGCAGUGAAAUGCGUAGAGAUGUGGAGGAACACCGAUGGCGAAGGCAGCCCCCUGGGCCAAUACUGACACUCAUGCACGAAAGCGUGGGGAGCAAACAGGAUUAGAUACCCGUGUAGUCCCUGUCUCUUAUAA
RNAcentral lists this ribosomal RNA (301 nucleotides) under uncultured bacterium. RNAcentral's name for it is "partial 16S ribosomal RNA". It matches the Rfam family "Bacterial small subunit ribosomal RNA", at positions 509 to 809 of the family's 1533-position model. The record is from RNAcentral.